CAGCCGCCGCGGUAAUACGUAGGGGGCGAGCUUUACCCGGAUUCACUGGGCGUAAAGCGGGUGUAGGCGGCUCGGUAAGUCGGGUGUGAAAUCCCACAGCUCAACUGUGGAAUUGCGCCCGAAACUGCUGAGCUUGGGGCCGGUAGAGGGAGACGGAACUGCCGGUGUAGGGGUGAAAUCCGUAGAUAUCGGCAGGAACGCCGGUGGGGAAGCCGGUCUCCUGGGCCGCGCCCGACGCUGAGACCCGAAAGCUAGGGGAGCAAACCGGAUUAGAUACCCGGGUAGUCCUAGCCGUAAACGAUGCUCACUAGGUGUGGGGGAUUAAUUCCUCCGUGCUGGAGCUAACGCGAUAAGUGGGCCGCCUGGGGAGUACGCCCGCAAGGGUGAAACUUAAAGGAAUUGGCGGG
RNAcentral lists this ribosomal RNA (407 nucleotides) under uncultured microorganism. Its description in RNAcentral is "bacterial SSU rRNA". It matches the Rfam family "Bacterial small subunit ribosomal RNA", at positions 509 to 917 of the family's 1533-position model. The record is from RNAcentral.